RNAcentral lists this ribosomal RNA (253 nucleotides) under uncultured bacterium. RNAcentral describes it as "partial 16S ribosomal RNA". It matches the Rfam family "Bacterial small subunit ribosomal RNA", at positions 524 to 776 of the family's 1533-position model. The record is from RNAcentral.
UACAGAGGGUGCAAGCGUUAAUCGGAAUUACUGGGCGUAAAGCGUGCGUAGACGGUUACGUAAGUCAGAUGUGAAAGCCCCGGGCUCAACCUGGGAAUUGCAUUUGAGACUGUGUAGCUAGGGUGCGGAAGAGGGAAGCGGAAUUUCCGGUGUAGCGGUGAAAUGCGUAGAUAUCGGAAGGAACACCAGUGGCGAAAGCGGCUUCCUGGUCCAGCACCGACGUUCAGGCACGAAAGCGUGGGGAGCAAACAGG